RNAcentral lists this ribosomal RNA (677 nucleotides) under Escherichia coli. Its description in RNAcentral is "partial 23S ribosomal RNA". It matches the Rfam family "Bacterial large subunit ribosomal RNA", at positions 609 to 1285 of the family's 2925-position model. The record is from RNAcentral. Lineage: Bacteria; Pseudomonadati; Pseudomonadota; Gammaproteobacteria; Enterobacterales; Enterobacteriaceae.
UGUAUAAUGGGUCAGCGACUUAUAUUCUGUAGCAAGGUUAACCGAAUAGGGGAGCCGAAGGGAAACCGAGUCUUAACUGGGCGUUAAGUUGCAGGGUAUAGACCCGAAACCCGGUGAUCUAGCCAUGGGCAGGUUGAAGGUUGGGUAACACUAACUGGAGGACCGAACCGACUAAUGUUGAAAAAUUAGCGGAUGACUUGUGGCUGGGGGUGAAAGGCCAAUCAAACCGGGAGAUAGCUGGUUCUCCCCGAAAGCUAUUUAGGUAGCGCCUCGUGAAUUCAUCUCCGGGGGUAGAGCACUGUUUCGGCAAGGGGGUCAUCCCGACUUACCAACCCGAUGCAAACUGCGAAUACCGGAGAAUGUUAUCACGGGAGACACACGGCGGGUGCUAACGUCCGUCGUGAAGAGGGAAACAACCCAGACCGCCAGCUAAGGUCCCAAAGUCAUGGUUAAGUGGGAAACGAUGUGGGAAGGCCCAGACAGCCAGGAUGUUGGCUUAGAAGCAGCCAUCAUUUAAAGAAAGCGUAAUAGCUCACUGGUCGAGUCGGCCUGCGCGGAAGAUGUAACGGGGCUAAACCAUGCACCGAAGCUGCGGCAGCGACGCUUAUGCGUUGUUGGGUAGGGGAGCGUUCUGUAAGCCUGCGAAGGUGUGCUGUGAGGCAUGCUGGAGGUAUCAG